UACGAAGGGGGCUAGCGUUGCUCGGAAUCACUGGGCGUAAAGCGCACGUAGGCGGCUUUCUAAGUCAGAGGUGAAAUCCCGGGGCUCAACCCCGGAACUGCCUUUGAUACUGGAGAGCUUGAGUUCGGGAGAGGUGAGUGGAACUGCGAGUGUAGAGGUGAAAUUCGUAGAUAUUCGCAAGAACACCAGUGGCGAAGGCGGCUCACUGGCCCGAUACUGACGCUGAGGUGCGAAAGCGUGGGGAGCAAACAGG
Molecule: ribosomal RNA, 253 nt
Filed under: uncultured bacterium
Lineage: Bacteria
Description: partial 16S ribosomal RNA
Rfam family: Bacterial small subunit ribosomal RNA
Source: RNAcentral